Molecule: RNase P RNA, 349 nt
Filed under: Gammaproteobacteria bacterium
Lineage: Bacteria; Pseudomonadati; Pseudomonadota; Gammaproteobacteria
Description: RNase P RNA component class A
Rfam family: Bacterial RNase P class A
About the family: Ribonuclease P (RNase P) is a ubiquitous endoribonuclease, found in archaea, bacteria and eukarya as well as chloroplasts and mitochondria.
Source: RNAcentral
GGAGUCGGCCAGGCAGCCGCAGUGCCCGUUUCGGGGAUUGAGGAAAGUCCGGGCUCCACAGGGCAAGGUGCCAGGUAAUACCUGGGCAGCGCGAGCUGACGGCCAGUGCAACAGAAAGCAUACCGCCUUCGGAUUGUCCGGAGGUAAGGGUGAAAUGGUGCGGUAAGAGCGCACCGCGCUGCUGGCAACAGCAGUGGCAGGGUAAACCCCACCUGGAGCAAGACCAAAUAGGGAUCCUCGAGAUGUGGCCCGCAUCGGAUCCGGGUAGGUUGCUUGAGAUAUCUGGCGACAGGUAUCCCAGAUGAAUGGCUGCCCACGACAGAACCCGGCUUAUCGGCCGACUCCUCCC